This 3863-nucleotide long non-coding RNA is filed under the name Capsicum annuum. Its description in RNAcentral is "long non-coding RNA (CANN_LNC022050)". The record is from RNAcentral. Lineage: Eukaryota; Viridiplantae; Streptophyta; Magnoliopsida; Solanales; Solanaceae.
CAGCUGCGGGCAGGUCUGGUGGUAUUGUCCUGCUAUGGCACACAACCUUUGUUAGUAUUACUCGUAAGCAUCAAACCUCUCAGAAGCUCCACACCAUGAUUAAGGUUAGCUCCUUCAAUUUAUCUUGGCAUAUUUCUAUUAUAUAUGCUAGUACUGGUUAUAAUACUCAUAGAAUCCUUUGGCAGAAACUUAUAGCUUAUGCUCGUUUGGUUACUUGUUGGUGAUUUUAAUGAUAUUCUUUCCCAAAAUGAUAAAUAGCGGGGUAGAUUUAUAAAUAAUACUAGAACUUCGGAAUUUUGGAAUUAUGUUAAUUCCUGUCAACUUAUGGACCUCAGUUACAAAGGCAAUAAAUACAGUUGGUCAAACCAUAGAAAAAGUCUUAAGUCUGUUAUCUUAGAAUGACUAGAUGAGUCUUUGUCACCAUGAAUAGAUGGAAAACUGGCCUAAUGCCCACGUUACUCACCUACCUAAAACCCAUUCUGAUUAUAAUCCUCUAUGGAUUUCUCUUACUAAUAAAUACUCCGAACAAGGUAGGAAACCCUUUAGGCUGGAAAAGUAUUGGAUGGACCACCCGGAGUUUAGUUCUAUUAUUAGGAAAAAUUGGGAUUCUAAUGAUCUUUUUCGUGCAUUCUCUGAUUUUCGGGACAACAUUAUGAGGUGGAGUUCUCAUACUUUUGGUAAUAUUUUUAAUACCAAAAAUGAAUUCUUGCAUGGCUUGCUGGGAUUCAACACUCCCCUUAAUAUGCUACUAGUACCUUCCUUCAAAACCGUGAACACCCUCUCAAAACUGAGUUCAAUAAUAUUCUUAAACAGGAGGAGUAUCAUUGGAAAAUACGCUUCUGUAUUAACUGGUUUAGUAUGGGAGAUGAGAACACUAAGUAUUUUCACAUGACUGUCCUUAAUAGGCAUUGUCGAAAUAAGAUCUCUUAUUUCAAGGACUCGAACGAUAACUGGAACACUGACCCCAAACAACUCUUGGAUCAUGUUUUUACCUACUUCUCUAAUUGUUUUACUACCGAACACAUCCACACCAUCUGGUCUCAUUUAAUCAAUCUCAUACUAGUUUCCAUAAGUUAGAUCUCUCUAUUUUGGAUAACCCACUCCAGGACAUCAAAAUAUCGCAGGCUGUGUUCUUCUUUAAACCCUUUAAAGCUCUGAGACCGGAUGGGCUCCACCCUCACUAUUUAUAAUCUCAAUGGAGUAUUGUUGGACCUUUAAUCAAAUCCAUGUAUCACACGGUCUUCAAUACUUAGACUCUCCCAGACUGUAUGAAUAAUACCUUCUUUUGUCUAAUCCCAAAGUUUUCCAAUGUAAACCUUCUAAAAAACUUCUGUCCUAUCAGCCUUUGUAAUACAACCUACAAAAUUAUUACUAAAAUCAUCGCUAAUCAAAUUAAACCCCGUCUUAUCAUCCUCAUUAGUCCUUAUCAAGCUAGCUUCCUGAAAGGACGUUGGGCUUGUGAUAAUGCUAUAUUAGUUCAAGAAUUAGUUACCCAUAUUACUCGGUCCUGAAAUAAGUUUGCUAGCCUUAUCCUCAAAAUAGAUUUGGAAAAGGCUUUUGAUCGACUGGAAUAGUCCUUUGUCUAUCGUACUAUUUCUAUUCUUUAAGUUUCCUCCGAAACUUACUAGGCUUAGUAUGAAUUACCUAUCCUUUAGUAAUAUCUCUGUCCUAGUUAAUGGUAUUUAGAAUAGUUAUUUCUCACCUUCUCGGGGUAUCUGACAAGGUGAUCCUAUGUCCCCGUAUUUCUUUAUUCUUUGUAUGGAUCUUCUCUCUAACUAUAUUUGUCAUCAGGUUGAUAUUUUGCACUGGGACCCAAUUACUCUGAGUAGAAAUGGACCUCCCUUUUCUCAUCUAUUUUUUGCAGAUGACCUAACUCUUAUCUCUAAGGCUAACAUAUCCUCUAUCUAUAUACUAUAUGACUGUAUGACCCAUUUCAGUACUCUUUUGGGGCAAAAAAGUAAUGUGGCCAGAUCAAAAGCUAUAUUCUCGCCAUCCUACCCUCAAUAUAUUUGGGUUCUAAUUAAAGAUCUUUUUGGCAUAUCGCCAUCAACCAGCUUUGGUAAAUACUUAGGUUUGCCCAUUCUUCGUAUGAACCGACACAUGUAGAUUUUUAAUUCCUUGUUGAUAAUAAGCGUCGAAAACUAGCCUCUUGGAAAACUAAAUUUCUUUUCUUGGUAGGUAGGCUUGUCUUGAUUCGAUCUAAUUUAAACACAAUCCUAUCCUACAUAAUGCAAUAUUUCAAACUCCCUAAAAAAACCUAUAACAUUAUUGAUAAAAUUCAAAUGGACUUCCUUUGGGGUUCAACCGACCAAAAGCAUAAGCUACACUAUAUCAGUUGAGACAAAGUCACCUCUCUAAAAGAGCAUGGGGGUUUAGGUCUUCUACAGGCUGAUAUUAAGAAUUGAACUCUAUUAACAAGUCUAGCCUGGCGACUGUUUACUAACUCCACGUCUCUUGGGGUAAAUACUCUCCUUCACAAGUAUAAUCAUGUUCGCUGUAAAUCUAGUACCUCUUUUAUUUGGAAAAAUAUUCUCCUUGGAGGGUGUCUUUGUAGUCAAGCAACAUCUUGACCCCGGCUACGGGCCAUUCUAUUAAAUUUUGGAUGCCUUGUUGGGUUCCUCAGCUCCCUACCGUUUGGGAAAUUAUUCACGGUCCUUUUGUUCAUAAGGAGGAAGAACUUUUCCUUGCUGAUCUCUAGACAAGCCAUCCGUGGGAUUGGCGUAAAAUUUCCUUCAAAAUUCCUUCUUUUUUCAUCACACAAGUAAACUAUAUAUAUCCAAAUCCAUCUCUUGGUUCUUACGAUUAACCAUACUAGGCCAAUACGGCCAAUGGCCUAUUUUCUUUGAAAUCCGUUUAUCAAUCGAUUCAUACUUCUCUAUCUAUGCUUUCAAUUGGGUUUGGAAACUCAACACCUUAGAAAAAAUCCACCACUUUCUAUGGCUUUGUUCCAGUGGCCGGUUUGCCACUACGGCUUAUCUUUAUCAUAUUGGUAUCUUACCACACCCAAACUUCCCAGUAUGCCACCUAGAGCCAGAAACCACUAGCCUCAUUUCACCCACUGCUGCAUAGCCCAAAACUUUUGGUUAGAUAUAGGUUUAAAUCCCUUCCACCUUGAUACUACAAACCAACAUUGGUUGAACUCUUUAAAAACAUACCCCCCUCACUUUCAGGAUGCUUCUUUGGACUGGCUGAUUUUCUUUCCAAUGGCUAUUUGGAAUAUUUGGCUAAACCAAAACCAUAAUAUAUUCCAUAAAAAACAAAUCUUCUUAACUCUGCCGCAAUUAGAGAAAAAACCAUGAAGUAUAUUACUUAUACCACCAUUCCUAGAAAUCAACAUGAGACUAUUUCCAUUAAGGUUUGAUGGUUUCCACCCUCUGACGGUCUUUACAAACUUAAUGUUGACGGGGCUUUUUAGUAACUAUACUAAAUGUGGUUUGGAAGGGGUCAUUCACAACUUUUCAAGUGAUUGGAUAGUGGGUUUUUCUGCCAUGGGCAAUAGCCAUUGCCAUACACUGGCUGAACUUGAAGCCUUAAAAAUUGGUCUUGACUUAGCCAUCACACGCAAUCUUUUACCUAUUAUUAUUGAAACUGACUCGGUGGAGGUAAUCUAACUAUUACAGCAUUCUACCAUGCCGUUUACUGAUAUUUUAUCUCAAUGCAGGUCAAUGUUGAAAGCAUGGAGAAUCCAGUAGUACAACAUAACUUUUGAGAGGCUAACAAAGUAGCAGAUAGUUUGGCCCGUGCAAGUUUCUCCUUAUCCCAGUUUGAUGAAGUAAUUUUUCUCCAGUCUCCUCUGUCUUCAGUCGCUGUACAUCUGCAAAAUGAUGCUUAUGGUGUUUUUUGUGAUCGUUUUGUGUCCUGGU